Taeniopygia guttata (zebra finch) is the source of this 1216-nucleotide non-coding RNA. NCBI's taxonomy places the organism in Eukaryota, Metazoa, Chordata, Aves, Passeriformes, Estrildidae. The record is from RefSeq and is a predicted model, not a curated record.
CAUCUGUAUGCAAAAGUUACAAUAAGCUACUCAGUGCUGAUCUCUUUCUCUCCACAGAUUUCAGAAUUUUUUUCUGAAAUCAGGAUAGACUGGCAACAAAACCAACAGCAAGAGGUAGUUCCCUUUUGCCCCUCCCUCCAAUUAAUAGUUUAUUUCUUCGGUAAGCCCCAUGCUGGGAAUGGCUGUGCUAUGAUAUGAUUUUGGCACAGAGCUUCACACCAAUCCUAUUCAAGUAUGACAAAAACCAAUUCCCUCCUUGGCUGACAAAUAUCAAGGAAACUUCUAGAACCACACCAGUUUUGAGCAAGUAGACAGAAGAAAUAAUAAUAAUAAUGAUGAUGCUAAUAAUAACAACAACCAUCAUCAUCCUCUUCCUCCUCUCAUUUGCCUUAUUUACUUUGUAAGUAAAGAGAUAAAUAGAAACUUCAGUCUUUUUACUUUUAAACUUUACUGGGAACAAGUAUUUUCAAUAACAACUAGAGAAAACUAUUAAAGGGAAUUGUCAGAGAGUAGAAUCUGACUGGAUAUAAACACACUAAAUAUAUACACUAAAUACACUUUCUUUAAACAAACAAACAACCCCCCCAAAUCUGGGAUUUGAAAAAUAUUGCUUUCUUAUGAUUUAGCUUGAAUAGAGAUGAUUAUACUAAAAAACAACAAACCAAAACAAGACUACUAACUAGUGACAGAAUUUUUAUGUGUGUGUUGUAUUUCUACUCCUUGAAAGCAAACAAAGCUUUUUUUCUCAAUGAACAGACAGGUCUUUUCAAACACUCUAAAUUACUUGUCAUUUCAAGCAGGCCCUGAUAUUGUUACUUUAAAACAUUUCAACUCCUAUGUCAUACAGACAUAGAGAAUAUUCAUGCCUUGAUAUUUAUGUUGCAUAACAUUUUCCAUUUUAGGUCAUUAUGAAGUUCUUCACAAACUCUGUCAACCUUUAACUGUUCUUUCUGACAAGAAGCUUCCUGCUCCAGGUACCCAGGAAGGUUGUCCAUACCCCCAAGUUUUUACUUGAGAAAUAUCAGCAAAAUCCUCUUAACUCAUCUCUGCCUCCCCUGAAUGGUUAAGUGCAAUACAGAUGUUUAGCUGAAGAUGUGAGACUGAAGACUGAUUUUGCUGCUGUUAAUCACUGAAGAGACAUUAUCAACAGGAAAACAUGUGCCAGACAGGAUGAAUGUACCAUGGUACUCCUGUAGUAUUAAUAUAAAUGAAUUUU